UACGAGGGGGCAAGCGUUGUUCGGAAUUAUUGGGCGUAAAGGGCGCGUAGGCGGUGCGGUAAGUCACCUGUGAAAACUCUGGGCUCAACUCAGAGCCUGCAGGCGAAACUGCCGUGCUUGAGUGUGGGAGAGGGUGCGUGGAAUUCCCGGCGUAGCGGUGAAAUGCGUAGAUAUCGGGAGGAACACCUGUGGCGAAAGCGGCGCACUGGACCACAACUGACGCUGAGGCGCGAAAGCUAGGGGAGCAAACAGG
RNAcentral lists this ribosomal RNA (253 nucleotides) under uncultured bacterium. RNAcentral describes it as "partial 16S ribosomal RNA". It matches the Rfam family "Bacterial small subunit ribosomal RNA", at positions 524 to 776 of the family's 1533-position model. The record is from RNAcentral.